Molecule: ribosomal RNA, 457 nt
Filed under: Globigerinoides ruber
Lineage: Eukaryota; Foraminifera; Rotaliida; Globigerinidae
Description: SSU rRNA
Rfam family: Eukaryotic small subunit ribosomal RNA
Source: RNAcentral
UGACUCAACGCGGGAAAUCUUACCGGGUCCGGACAUAUCGAGGAUUGACAGACAGUUACCAUGCCCUUUCGAAAGGAGUCAGGUUUUAAACCUAAUGGCUCUUUCAUGAUUAUAUGAUAGGUGGUGCAUGGCCGUUCUUAGUUCGUGGAGUGAUCUGUCUGCUUAAUUGCGUUUCAAAUUUUUAUUUGAGGACCAGGUUUUGGUUUGGGUAGUGGUCCUACGAUGACUGUGAACUGUCAUGUCUUCGGAUGUGCGACUAUCGGUCUAGGAUCGCAUCUCAGCCCCUGGGACUCUUUUGAACGCAACGGACGUGAUUGCAACCCCUUGUUGAGAUUAGAGGAGUCUCGAUAUUCAUUGGCCAAACUUACCGCUUCGAGCUUGCUCGUGCAGUUUUGUUAGCCGGUGGAUAAACUCGGGGGACUGCUGACUAUAACCAUUUCUCAAAACAGAGGAAGGU